AAAGAGAAGUGGAAUAAAAAUUAGAGUUGGGAUAUACAUCAAGUAGGGACCACAUGCUGUAGAAAUUCAUGUGUCACCUGCCUUUCUUUGACUUUAAGUAGGAAUUUUGCUUGUCCAUCCUUGUGGAAGUUACCGCAAAUUAGGGUAACAACAAAGCUAUACGUCGGUGCCUAGGAUAUUGUUAUAUGCCCAGAAAAUACGUGUUAAAUGAACUAUCUUUUAUGUGAUAGACCAAUUUCUUUUGAGUCUAUUAUAAUUUAAAUGUAUGUAAGAUUCUUGUUUAUUUUAUUUUAAAAGAAUAGGUUCCUUGUUAUAAAACUGAGGUUAGUUUGUAUGACUUAAUUGAGUAUCUAUGUUCUAAGCAAAGCAGUGGAUGAGUAUAGAAAGAAAAAGAGUCAUGCCAAAUUGUUCACGGUGGAAGUAUUUAGGGAUUUGGGAUUACUAGGAUCUCUUACUUUCCAUUUAUAUGAGGACAUAGUUACAUAUAUUUCUUUUCGUAUACAUUUAUUCAGUUUACUUUUUAACAGAGUGUGUAAACCUUACCAUUGGAUAUUUUUGUUUUCUUUAAUGUAUAAU
Long non-coding RNA from Mustela erminea (ermine), 576 nucleotides. RefSeq lists it as uncharacterized. The transcript is spliced from 3 exons. Lineage: Eukaryota; Metazoa; Chordata; Mammalia; Carnivora; Mustelidae. The record is from RefSeq and is a predicted model, not a curated record.